RNAcentral lists this microRNA precursor (75 nucleotides) under Myotis davidii. RNAcentral's name for it is "mir-9193 microRNA precursor family". It matches the Rfam family "mir-9193 microRNA precursor family". The record is from Rfam by way of RNAcentral. Lineage: Eukaryota; Metazoa; Chordata; Mammalia; Chiroptera; Vespertilionidae.
CUCUGGGGGAGGGGGACCCUCAGCCUGGAUUGCGAGAGGACACAGGCCAGACCGAGGGACCCCCACCAGUGCAGG